Non-coding RNA from Pelobates cultripes (western spadefoot toad), 609 nucleotides. The record is from the annotation of a GenBank genome assembly. Lineage: Eukaryota; Metazoa; Chordata; Amphibia; Anura; Pelobatidae.
CCUGUCUGAGAGUGACAUUUAAGUUACUGUUGUAACAGUAUGACCAAUAUGUGCGCCCCGUGCCCACAAAGGAUGUGACAAGCACAGACCAGCAUGAGUGAAGCUGAGAGAUGGGACACAUACUAUGUUUCUGCCCUCUUUGAACACACUGAACUGGGGUUUCUAUAAUGAAGAAGGUGGACAAUGAGGACCAGCAUGACACAGAUAGUGAGAGACACAUUGAGGGGUAGAGAGACACACUAGAGCGGCAUGCACAUGGCCAUGAAGAUGGGCACUGGAGAGCACAGAGAUGAACUCACAUGGGGGGGCUUAAAGUAAACACACAAGAAGGGCAUUGAAAGGAGGAUACAAGAAGGGCAUGGAGAGGCAGACACAUGGAGACUUGAAGAGGGGGAUAGAAGAGGAGUUGGGGAAGAUGGAGACAUAAAGUGGAGGGCAAUGAGAGGGGGACACACUAUGGGGGAAGGUAGAGAGAUACACAAGACAAGAUCGAGAGUGAUACACACAAGGGGGCACACUGUGGCUUCUGUUUGCUUGUUUGGCAGUUUAAGGUCCACUCCUGUGUUUCUCACAGGGCUUCUGAAGGCCUAAGGCUGCUCUCUACUCACC